Molecule: non-coding RNA, 28 nt
Filed under: Homo sapiens (human)
Lineage: Eukaryota; Metazoa; Chordata; Mammalia; Primates; Hominidae
Source: RNAcentral
UGAGGGACUAAUGGAGGCUUAUUGUAAC